RNAcentral lists this ribosomal RNA (253 nucleotides) under uncultured bacterium. Its description in RNAcentral is "partial 16S ribosomal RNA". It matches the Rfam family "Bacterial small subunit ribosomal RNA", at positions 524 to 776 of the family's 1533-position model. The record is from RNAcentral.
UACGUUGGGGGCAAGCGUUGUCCGGAUUUAUUGGGCGUAAAGAGCGUGUAGGCGGCUUUGCAAGUCCGUUGUGAAAACUCGAGGCUCAACCUCGAGACGCCGGUGGAAACUGCAAAGCUAGAGUCCGGAAGAGGAGAGUGGAAUUCCUGGUGUAGCGGUGAAAUGCGCAGAUAUCAGGAAGAACACCCGUGGCGAAGGCGGCUCUCUGGGACAGUACUGACGCUGAGACGCGAAAGCGUGGGGAGCAAACAGG